CUGGUCUCCGGGGGUGCGGCCUUGGGCAGCGCCCUCCAAGGUCCAGAGACCCCCAGGAGCUGCGCUCCGAGGCCCAAAGGCGUCGACAGUCAGAGCUGCGCCAGCACCCUCCCAACCCAACGGCCACGCGGCCACGCCCUGUGCGGCCUUUCCUGUUUGUUUCCCAGCCUUCCAUGUUGCAACUACAAAGUAGUAUUUGGUUGCAGCCCCGCUGAACCCUCGCUCCUCAGUUUGUCAAACAGGCAAGCUUGGUGGUGGUUGGCUAUAAUCCUGGCACUCCAGGAGGCUGAGACAGGAGGAUCACAACUUCAAACUUAGCCUGGGCAACUUGGCAAGACUGUCUCAAAAUAAAAAAAAAGGGACUGAGGAUGUAGUUCAUUGAAAAGACCUUGGGUUCAAUCACCAACACUGCAAAAGAAGAAAACAAAAAGGAGGGUGGGAUGGGAGAAAGGAAAAAAAAAGAGAAGUCAUCUGGUGGGUGGGGGGCACCUGGGGAGGGCACUGGCCACUCGGGGAAGAGCUGGGGCACACAGGAGAGGCCUGGGGUGCAGCAGCCUCACUGCGGAGGGAGGGGAGAACCAGCACGUCUGCCUCUGAUGCUCCCUGGGUCCCUGGGUCCUCAGCUCUCACUGGGAAGUGACCUGGUGGCGUCUCCAGGUGACCUCUUUCCUGGGAACGUUUUCCAGUGCGAGGAGGCGGCAGGCAGAGGGCCUGGGCUGCAGGAUCCUCCAGAGAAGCAGGGCACCCUUCAGAGCUCAGGGGCCAGCACUCGAGGGCUGGGGAGCGGGGGUGGGGGUGAGCUCAGGCCCUGGGCCUCCCAGGAACGUGGGGCCCCCCGCCCCGCAGGCGCACACUGGGCCGUGGCACUGGUGACAGCCCAGGUCUCAUUUAUGGGUCCCCAGCCCCAGGGGCUGCAAGGUCACCCAGGAAGGGGAGCACUGAGGGACCCCACGACCCAGAGGGAGUCGAACUUCCACACAGGGGCCCCAAGCUCAUGCCUUGCACGCUGGCUUAAAAAGGAGUUUGCUGUCUGGUGAGCACUGUCUGGAGUUCGCUCUCACCCAGGGAGCUUCCAUUCCCUCCCUGGCACUCUGGAGCAGGCAGAGGCCGGACGCUCUGCUCAUUCCCAGAGCUGGAUAUCACGGCUGCUUGCUGUCUCCGAAACUUGCAAUCUGCAUCAGAUGCCAGGUUCUUCCACACCACCCACCACUGUGGCUCCCCCACAAGCAUUCGAAAGCAGCCCCAACCAUGGCCAGCAGCCUCGGUCAUGCCCGUCACACUGAAGUGAGGCUCUGCGGGUGGACAGC
Molecule: long non-coding RNA, 1307 nt
Filed under: Heterocephalus glaber (naked mole-rat)
Lineage: Eukaryota; Metazoa; Chordata; Mammalia; Rodentia; Bathyergidae
Description: lncRNA (ENSHGLG00100039252.1)
Source: RNAcentral